RNAcentral lists this ribosomal RNA (117 nucleotides) under Aerococcaceae bacterium DSM 111022. RNAcentral's name for it is "partial 16S ribosomal RNA". It matches the Rfam family "Bacterial small subunit ribosomal RNA", at positions 1425 to 1533 of the family's 1533-position model. Lineage: Bacteria; Bacillati; Bacillota; Bacilli; Lactobacillales; Aerococcaceae. The record is from RNAcentral.
AGCCGGUGGCCUAACCUUAUGGAGGGAGCCGUCGAAGGUGGGACAGAUGAUUGGGGUGAAGUCGUAACAAGGUAGCCGUAUCGGAAGGUGCGGCUGGAUCACCUCCUUUCUAAGGAG